RNAcentral lists this ribosomal RNA (578 nucleotides) under Arthrobacter sp. HRTK153. Its description in RNAcentral is "bacterial SSU rRNA". It matches the Rfam family "Bacterial small subunit ribosomal RNA", at positions 102 to 694 of the family's 1533-position model. Lineage: Bacteria; Bacillati; Actinomycetota; Actinomycetes; Micrococcales; Micrococcaceae. The record is from RNAcentral.
ACGGGUGAGUAACACGUGAGUAACCUGCCCUUGACUCUGGGAUAAGCCUGGGAAACUGGGUCUAAUACCGGAUAUGACCUUCCAUCGCAUGGUGGUUGGUGGAAAGCUUUUGUGGUUUUGGAUGGACUCGCGGCCUAUCAGCUUGUUGGUGGGGUAAUGGCCUACCAAGGCGACCACGGGUAGCCGGCCUGAGAGGGUGACCGGCCACUCUGGGACUGAGACACGGCCCAGACUCCUACGGGAGGCAGCAGUGGGGAAUAUUGCACAAUGGGCGCAAGCCUGAUGCAGCGACGCCGCGUGAGGGAUGACGGCCUUCGGGUUGUAAACCUCUUUCAGUAGGGAAGAAGCGAAAGUGACGGUACCUGCAGAAGAAGCGCCGGCUAACUACGUGCCAGCAGCCGCGGUAAUACGUAGGGCGCAAGCGUUAUCCGGAAUUAUUGGGCGUAAAGAGCUCGUAGGCGGUUUGUCGCGUCUGCCGUGAAAGUCCGGGGCUCAACUCCGGAUCUGCGGUGGGUACGGGCAGACUAGAGUGAUGUAGGGGAGACUGGAAUUCCUGGUGUAGCGGUGAAAUGCGCAGA